This 374-nucleotide ribosomal RNA is filed under the name uncultured bacterium. RNAcentral's name for it is "partial 16S ribosomal RNA". It matches the Rfam family "Bacterial small subunit ribosomal RNA", at positions 338 to 729 of the family's 1533-position model. The record is from RNAcentral.
CCUACGGGAGGCAGCAGUGGGGAAUAUUGCUCAAUGGGGGAAACUCUGAUGCAGCGAUGCCGCGUGCGUGAAGAAGUAUUUCGGUAUUUAAAGCUCUAUUAGCAGGGAAGAAAAUGACGGUACCUGAUUAAGACGCCCCGGCUAACUACGUGCCAGCCGCCGCGGUUAUACGGAGGGGGCAAGCGUUAUCCGGAUGUACUGGGUGUAAAGGGGGCGUAGACGGCAGCACAAGUCUGGAGUGAAAUGCCGGGGCUAAACCCCGGAACUGCUUUGGAAACUGUGCAGCUAGAGUGCAGGAGAGGUAGGUGGAAUGUCUGGUGUAGCGGUGAAAUGCGUAGAUAUUAGAAAGAACACCAAUGGCGAAGGCAGCUUAC